GCUUAACGCGAAGAACCUUACCCAGGCUUGACAUCCAUGUGAAACCUCCUGGAAACAGGAGGCCUCCUUCGGGACACUUGGACAGGUGCUGCAUGGCUGUCGUCAGCUCGUGUCGUGAGAUGUUGGGUUAAGUCGCGCAACGAGCGCAACCCCUGUCCUUAGUUGCCAUCAGAUAAAGCUGGGCACUCUAGGGAGACAAACCCUCUCUGAGGGUGGGAAGGUGGGGAUGACGUCAAGUCAGGAUGGCCCUUACGGCCUGGGCUGCACACGUGCUACAAUGCCCGGUACAGAGGGGCGCAAUACCGCGAGGUGGAGCAAAUCCCAAAAACCGGGCCCAGUUCAGAUUGCAGUCUGCAACUCGACUGCAUGAAGCCGGAAUCGCUAGUAAUGGCGUAUCAGCUACGACGCCGUGAAUACGUUCCCGGGUCUUGUACACACCG
Molecule: ribosomal RNA, 440 nt
Filed under: uncultured bacterium
Lineage: Bacteria
Description: bacterial SSU rRNA
Rfam family: Bacterial small subunit ribosomal RNA
Source: RNAcentral